RNAcentral lists this transfer RNA (22 nucleotides) under Osteocephalus taurinus (Manaus slender-legged treefrog). RNAcentral describes it as "partial tRNA-Gln". Lineage: Eukaryota; Metazoa; Chordata; Amphibia; Anura; Hylidae. RNAcentral also lists the same sequence under 6 other names. The record is from RNAcentral.
UAGAGAAAUAGGAAUUGAACCU